Molecule: ribosomal RNA, 460 nt
Filed under: uncultured bacterium
Lineage: Bacteria
Description: partial 16S ribosomal RNA
Rfam family: Bacterial small subunit ribosomal RNA
Source: RNAcentral
CCUACGGGAGGCAGCAGUGAGGAAUAUUGGUCAAUGGGCGAGAGUCUGAACCAGCCAAGUAGCGUGAAGGAUGACUGCCCUAUGGGUUGUAAACUUCUUUUAUAUGGGAAUAAAACGUUCCACGUGUGGGAUUUUGUAUGUACCAUAUGAAUAAGGAUCGGCUAACUCCGUGCCAGCAGCCGCGGUAAUACGGAGGAUCCGAGCGUUAUCCGGAUUUAUUGGGUUUAAAGGGAGCGUAGGUGGAUUGUUAAGUCAAUUGUGAAAGUUUGCGGCUCAACCGUAAAAUUGCAGUUGAAACUGGCAGUCUUGAGUACAGUAGAGGUGGGCGGAAUUCGUGGUGUAGCGGUGAAAUGCUUAGAUAUCACGAAGAACUCCGAUUGCGAAGGCAGUUCACUGGACUGCAACUGACACUGAGGCUCGAAAGUGUGGGUAUCAAACAGGAUUAGAUACCCGGGUAGUC